CCUACGGGCGGCAGCAGUGAGGAAUAUUGGUCAAUGGACGAGAGCCUGAACCAGCCAAGUCGCGUGAAGGAUGAAGGCUCUAUGGGUUGUAAACUUCUUUUAUAUGGGAAUAAAGUGAGGAACGUGUGCCUUUUUGCAUGUACCUUAUGAAUAAGGAUCGGCUAACUCCGUGCCAGCAGCCGCGGUAAUACGGAGGAUGCGAGCGUUAUCCGGAUUUAUUGGGUUUAAAGGGAGCGUAGAUGGUUUGUUAAGUCAGUUGUGAAAGUUUGCGGCUCAACCGUAAAAUUGCAAUUGAUACUGGUAGACUUGAGUACAGUUGAGGUAGGCGGAAUUCGUGGUGUAGCGGUGAAAUGCUUAGAUAUCACGCAGAACCCCGAUUGCGAAGGCAGCUUACUAAACUGUAACUGACACUGAGGCACGAAAGCGUGGGGAUCAAACAGGAUUAGAUACCCCAGUAGUC
Molecule: ribosomal RNA, 460 nt
Filed under: uncultured bacterium
Lineage: Bacteria
Description: partial 16S ribosomal RNA
Rfam family: Bacterial small subunit ribosomal RNA
Source: RNAcentral